UGCAGCUUUCGUUGCUUUGGUGCCCAGUGG
This 30-nucleotide non-coding RNA is filed under the name Mus musculus (house mouse). Lineage: Eukaryota; Metazoa; Chordata; Mammalia; Rodentia; Muridae. The record is from RNAcentral.